This 253-nucleotide ribosomal RNA is filed under the name uncultured bacterium. Its description in RNAcentral is "partial 16S ribosomal RNA". It matches the Rfam family "Bacterial small subunit ribosomal RNA", at positions 524 to 776 of the family's 1533-position model. The record is from RNAcentral.
UACGAGGGGGGCAAGCGUUGUUCGGAAUUAUUGGGCGUAAAGGGCGCGUAGGCGGUGCGGUAAGUCACCUGUGAAAACUCUGGGCUCAACUCAGAGCCUGCAGGCGAAACUGCCGUGCUUGAGUGUGGGAGAGGUGCGUGGAAUUCCCGGUGUAGCGGUGAAAUGCGUAGAUAUUCGGAGGAACACCAGUGGCGAAGGCGGCUCACUGGUCCGGUACUGACGCUGAGGAGCGAAAGCCAGGGGAGCAAACGGG